UUUAAUAGCAAUAUAGCUUUGUAUAGUUUCGACAGUUACUAAUCACAAAAACUUUAUUAAAAGCGUUACAAAAAGUUUUACUCUCAGUUUUUUCUAUAGUUCCUUCUAACAACUUUGCAUUAUUCCGAUAAAACUAAUAGCUAAAAAACUUGUAAAGAUUUUGGUUACCAAUCAGACCCAUCAUUUGUUAAUUUAAAGUAACUUA
Molecule: small RNA, 205 nt
Filed under: Arabidopsis thaliana (thale cress)
Lineage: Eukaryota; Viridiplantae; Streptophyta; Magnoliopsida; Brassicales; Brassicaceae
Description: ATSL032650
Source: RNAcentral